AAAAAGGCAAACCAUAAGUUUACGUGUCCAACUUUGACUAUCCGUCUUAUAUAAAUUUUUUUUAUAAUUCGUAUUUUCAUUGUUGUUAGAUGAUAAAACAUGGUUAAUAUUUUAUGCGUGACUUGUCUUUUUAAUUUUUUUCGUAUUUUUUUCAAAUAAGACGAAUGGUCAAACGUUGGACACGGAAACCAGGGUUUGUCUUUUU
MicroRNA precursor from Oryza sativa Japonica Group (Japanese rice), 205 nucleotides. It matches the Rfam family "MIR812 microRNA precursor family". Lineage: Eukaryota; Viridiplantae; Streptophyta; Magnoliopsida; Poales; Poaceae. The record is from Rfam.